RNAcentral lists this ribosomal RNA (398 nucleotides) under uncultured bacterium. RNAcentral describes it as "bacterial SSU rRNA". It matches the Rfam family "Bacterial small subunit ribosomal RNA", at positions 357 to 772 of the family's 1533-position model. The record is from RNAcentral.
GGGAAUUUUGGGCAAUGGGCGAAAGCCUGACCCAGCAACGCCGCGUGAAGGAUGAAGUUUUUCGGAAUGUAAACUUCGAAAGAAUGGGAAGAAUAAAUGACGGUACCAUUUAUAAGGUCCGGCUCACUACGUUCCAGCAGCCGCGGUAAUACGUAGGGGCCAAGCGUUGUUCGGAUUUACUGGGCGUAAAGGGCGCGUAGGCGGCAAUUCAAGUCAUCUGUGAAAUCUCCGGGCUUAACUCGGAACGGUCAGAUGAUACUGCUUUGCUAGAGUACAGAAGGGGCAAUCGGAAUUCUUGGUGUAGCGGUGAAAUGCGUAGAUAUCAAGAGGAACACCUGAGGUGAAGACGGGUUGCUGGGCUGAUACUGACGCUGAGGCGCGAAAGCUAGGGUAGCAAA